RNAcentral lists this long non-coding RNA (3357 nucleotides) under Coffea arabica (coffee). RNAcentral describes it as "long non-coding RNA (CARA_LNC007355)". The record is from RNAcentral. Lineage: Eukaryota; Viridiplantae; Streptophyta; Magnoliopsida; Gentianales; Rubiaceae.
AGAAAAAGAAAUUGCUAGUUGGGCGGUGACCGAGAGGAAAGAAACACAAGGCAGCUUCAGCUUUCUUUCUUUCUUUCCAAAAACGGAAUCGAGGGAGUGGAUCUAAGAGUGAGGGAGAGAAAAUUUGGUUAGCUUCAUCAUCUGCUGAUCAUAAUCAAGAAGAGAAAGGCAAGGAAAAUAGGAGGGAUAGCUGGUGCAGACCUUGAGGAAACAAAGCUGGGAAAAUCUGGUCAGUCUGCAAUUUUUAACUCUUAAAGGAAAGAGGUAAAUUCUCUGUGAUCAAUACUUAUUUAAUGAGUAUAAAUGAAUAUAUAUAUAUAUAUAUAUAUAGACACACACACAAGCUGCAAGAUAAGUUUUAGCAGAGGAAAUGAGCUUCGAUUGAAGAAAAAUUCUGGUUUGAGAUUAAAAUGAUUAUUCGACUGAAGUUGUAGCAACCGGGAGUUAAUUACAUGAAUUUCAGCUCAUUAGCAGUGUAAAAAUGGAAAAUAUAAUAUAAGAAAAGCAUGUAAUAUGGUUAUCUCUGAUAUUAUAAGAAGUUUAGUUGAAGAAAUUUGGGAAAGGUUGGAAAUUGGGAGGACCGAUGGAAGAUCCUUGCUGGAAUUUUUCCAGCUUCAUCCGAGUGGGAGGGGGGAAUGGAAAAGUUUCAGAUGUCUUUGGUGAAUAAUGACUCUAAACUUCUGUGUUAAUCUGUAAUAUGUUGUAUAACAUCCUGAUUUCUUCAUGCAUGAGAGGUUUGAGCAUAAAAUGGAGGGAUCUAGUAGAAGAAACUCGUCUUUAGGCAUUACUUGCUGCUACGAACCAGCUUUAUAGCCAAGAGAGGAUAUAAAUCUUGGUUCAGAUUUUCUCUUGGGUUUUUGGCUAUAAAUUUCUAUGUUUUGCUUAAGAUGGUCUGUAGUUGAAUGAUCAUCCCCUGCAUGUCUAGUUGGAGCAUGAACUGAAAAGAAAAUUAUGAGAAAACAACCACAUGUUAAACUGCUAUACUGCUGCAAAUUGUAAUUAGUCGAUGACAGAUUGUUGUGCGUAGCUUUUGGGUUGAAUAAUUUGUUGAAACUAGAUGCUAUUUGCCUUGGUAUAUGCUGGACUGAAUGUACUUUAAAUAUUUAGAGCUUUAAGCAAGUGAAAGAAUAGAGUUUUCGUCGAAAGCUUGAAGUAACGUUACUAGUUUUGGUUGCUGACCGAGAAAAUGAAACAGAUUGUGCUUCUGACCGUCCCUUUUUGGCCUUGAAAACGCGAUAACUGGGUGUCGAUGUCUUCAGAAGAAAUGUAGGUCUAUGUCUUAGCUUCAAAACGCUAUAAAAUUCGCCUCAAUCUGAUAAGCGUAGCUCCAGUUGUGAUCAAAACAUUAGAGGGUGGCAAAGCUGCCUUUCUUGUUGCUUUCCUUUUGUUCCCAGAUGCACUUUGCUUUGAUAAUGGCCGUGAGGAAACAACUUUAAACCAGCAUUUCCUCUAAUUUCCAACUUUGUAAGCUUUCAUAGAUGAUAGCUAUGGUUACCCUGAGAUUUAAUGGCUAUAUACAGCUCCACGAGUAGCUUUCAUGAUAAUUAUGUACCUAAAUUAGCUUCUAAUUACUUAAUAUUGUCUUCACAAAUAUUUUAAAAACUAUAAAAUUUGAGGGACUGGUGUAGUGGAAUAAAAUUUAACUUACAAAUAACCUAGAGUUUAAUUUAUUAAAAAGGGGACCAAUGAAGUACUCCUAAACCAUAAUCUUAGAAUCUUGAAUGGAAAAUGAUUUGAUUCUAAAAUAAAUAUCUUAUAAAUUAUUAACUUGGAAAAACAGGUAUAAUUCUUGAUUAAAACAAUAAAGUCAAUAAGUUUCAAAAUAAAAUGAUAAAUGAAUAUUGAAUAUAUUAUAUUUGUACUUUAAGGUCAAACUAGAAUCUGUUUUAGCCUAGACGGAAGAAAUGAAACGUUUGCUUGUCUUAAUCCUUGCAGAUUAGAUUGGAAAUGAGUUAAUCUUAGCUCAAGUGUUUUAUAUGAUAUUAAAAUUUGGUGUAUAUGUACAUUAACCUUGUUUUAAAGCUACCAAACUUAAUAAUCCUGAAGACAAACGUAAGGAAGGUGGCUAGAUUUUGGUGAUUCAUUUUACAACCUUAGGAACUUGGGUUUUAGUUACUUAAACCUUAAAUUAUGUAAGAUGAAUGGUUGUAUAUAAAAUGAAUAUUCACUUUAGAAUUAUUAACUUGUACCAGGAAGUAGCCGUAAACCAGGAAACCAACUCGAGACUCAAGAGUAGUCAUUUGAAUCUUUGGUGAGUGUUUUCCGAGUUUAUGUGUUAAACUGCUUAUGUGUACCUAAGUGCAAUUAUAUGGCAAAUGUGCUUAUUAUGAAAUAUUGCUAAGUGAUUCAUUGUGAAGUGUUUUCAAUUGUCCCUUGCCUUCUAAGUCGAGGGUGUACUUUAUCGCUCAGCUUAGUUGAGGUUGAAGGUUGAUAAUUGAUCAAGUAAUAUUGUAAGUGCGCAUGACUGUAAGCCAUGUGUGCACCUUAUCACACUGGCUGAACUGGGCCCCAAAACCCUCUGUUCAACGGACUAUUCGAGCCAGCAAAGGGCUUGGUCGGGUAGGACGGUAGCUUUGGGUAAGUGUUUUGGUAUAUUCGAAUAUUACCACGGAGUAGCAGAUUACUGAUAUUGAUAUGGCCAUCCAAGUGAGGGAAGUGUUUAUUAUUUUGGAGGUUAUAAGGAGGAGUUCGGUGGAGUGUGUAGUGCAUUGAAGUGGCUCUAAUGCGAGCACCGUAUCCUUUUAAAAGUGAUUGUUUGGUUAUGUGCUUCCUCAAUUGCUUAAUGAAAGUGAUUGUACAGUGAAAUGUGCACUACUUGCUUAAUUGUACUGAUUUAAGUGCUUAUUGAUUGUUGCUUGCAUGGAAACCUCACGGGCGUAAGCUCACCCUUUUAGCUUUGUCUCCUUACAGGAGUUGGAGAUUGAAAAGUGAUUAGAUGGAAUAGGAAAGUUGUUUUGGGAAAUUCCAUCACUAUGUGUAUAUAUUGGAGUCACGUUUUCUUUUGUAUUUUAAGAUGGUUGAAUCUUCUGUUUUGAGUUGAUGUAAUAUUAAGAAUGGAUGUUUAGAACGUGUAUUUUGUUUCUUUUAGUGGACAAAUCUUUGUUUCAUGCUGAUUGGAGUGGUACUUAAGAGUGAAUGUUCAGUUGUUCAAUGAUAAUGAUAUCUCUGAAGUUAAUGUAAGUGAGUGAGUCCUGACGAGAGCCAGGCAGGCGAUCCGCUAACUUCUAGGGUAGGCCCUAGGAGAAGGUGAGGUCGUCACAAAAGUAAACUAUGACUUGGGGGCAUUAAGAACCCACAUGCAGCACCAAGUUGAAACACUAAAUGGGAGAGGGGGAAAAAACAAAAGAAAGAAGCAGG